CCCGGUCUCGUUUCGACCCCGGAAGUUAAGCCCGCCAGCGAUCCCGGGUGUACUGCCCUCCGAGAGGGGGCGGGAAACCGGGGACGCCGCCGGCC
This 95-nucleotide ribosomal RNA is filed under the name Thermococcus sp. LS1. The record is from RNAcentral. Lineage: Archaea; Methanobacteriati; Methanobacteriota; Thermococci; Thermococcales; Thermococcaceae.